AUUUAGCCCUGGCCCACAUGUCAGUUGAAGAAAGAAAACCCUAGCUAUCCAAUUUUCUUCCCAAAUCUGCCGCCGCCGCUGCUCGCUCCAAAAGCACCAGCGCCCGCGCCCGCACCUUCGGCUCCUCCCGACGCUGCCGCCGGCGCGGGGAGCUCCACGCGCGGGCGGAGGCGGACUGCCGGCAUGGGAGCUCCCCGCGGCUGGCCGACACGGGAGCCCGAGGCGGGAUGGAGACGGCCGGCCUCAGAUCCAUCGACGAGUCUCCAAGCCCCACCAGCCUCCCACCCAUGCGGCCGUCGGCGAUGCUCAGCUGGGCCGCGGUAGCGCUCACUCUCGCGGCCUCGGCGCUCCUCGCCGCCACACCGGCCGCCGUGCCUGGGCGGUGGUGCCAUGGGCGCCGCCGCUCCCAGCCCCCAUUGAAGUUCCUCCGUGAAUCCAGAGCGCAUGACGGCAGCUCGUCCCCGUGGUGCGUGGCAACAUCUUCAGGUAUGCAGGCCCUCUCCAAUCCGGAUCCAAUGGCAUGCGGAGGCGCUACAAGCCCAGAUCUGGUGGAACACUGACAUCAUCAUUUGGCAGGUUUGUGUGCAGACCUGAGGCCGACCCAAAAAUAUUGAGGAUUUCCCUUGUGACUUGCAACUCAUCUCCACUUGGUCUUAUGAACAAUGCAACAUCAUCAGCAUAUAAGGAUAAGCGCUGCCCUGAAAUUCUUGAGGAAAGGGGCUGUAGCAGCCCUUCCUCACCUGCUUUCACAAACAAGCUAUUUAACACGUCCAUGACAAGGAUGAAAAGCAUAGGAGAUAAGGGAUCGCCUUGCCGAAGCCCACGUUGGUGCUGAAUAAGCUGUCCUGGUUCACCAUUCAACAUGACUCAAGUGGAAGAGGUUGAUAGCAAACUCGAGAUCAGAUUACACCACGAUAUGCCAAAGCCCAAAUGAGAGAGAACUUCCAAGAGAAAGGACCACGAAACUGAAUCAAAAGCAUUGGGGGCUAGUAUAUCUGUAUAUGAGACAACUAUAUUCAAGCGCUGUAACAAGGUUCCUAACUGUCUGCAGACCACCUCAUUAUCCAAUAAAUUGUUCAUGUUAUUUGGCCAA
Molecule: RNA transcript, 1093 nt
Organism: Panicum virgatum (switchgrass)
Lineage: Eukaryota; Viridiplantae; Streptophyta; Magnoliopsida; Poales; Poaceae
Exons: 3
Source: RefSeq, a predicted model, not a curated record